AUCUAUACUGUGAAACUGCGAAUGGCUCAUUAAAUCAGUUAUCGUUUAUUUGAUAGUACCUUACUACUUGGAUAACCGUGGUAAUUCUAGAGCUAAUACAUGCUAAAAACCCCGACUUCGGGAGGGGUGUAUUUAUUAGAUAAAAAACCAAUGCCCUUCGGGGCUCCUUGGUGAUUCAUGAUAACUUAACGAAUCGCAUGGCCUUGCGCCGGCGAUGGUUCAUUCAAAUUUCUGCCCUAUCAACUUUCGAUGGUAGGAUAGUGGCCUACCAUGGUAUCAACGGGUAACGGGGAAUUAGGGUUCUAUUCCGGAGAGGGAGCCUGAGAAACGGCUACCACAUCCAAGGAAGGCAGCAGGCGCGCAAAUUACCCAAUCCCGACACGGGGAGGUAGUGACAAUAAAUACUGAUACAGGGCUCUUUCGGGUCUUGUAAUUGGAAUGAGUACAAUUUAAAUACCUUAACGAGGAACAAUUGGAGGGCAAGUCUGGUGCCAGCAGCCGCGGUAAUUCCAGCUCCAAUAGCGUAUAUUAAAGUUGUUGCAGUUAAAAAGCUCGUAGUUGAACCUUGGGCCUGGCUGGCCGGUCCGCCUCACCGCGUGUACUGGUCCGGCCGGGCCUUUCCUUCUGGGGAUCCGCAUGCCCUUCACUGGGUGUGUCGGGGAACCAGGACUUUUACUUUGAAAAAAUUAGAGUGUUCAAAGCAGGCCUUUGCUCGAAUACAUUAGCAUGGAAUAAUAGAAUAGGACGUGCGGUCCUAUUUUGUUGGUUUCUAGGACCGCCGUAAUGAUUAAUAGGGAUAGUCGGGGGCAUCAGUAUUCAAUUGUCAGAGGUGAAAUUCUUGGAUUUAUUGAAGACUAACUACUGCGAAAGCAUUUGCCAAGGAUGUUUUCAUUAAUCAGUGAACGAAAGUUAGGGGAUCGAAGACGAUCAGAUACCGUCGUAGUCUUAACCGUAAACUAUGCCGACUAGGGAUCGGGCGAUGUUAUUCUUUUGACUCGCUCGGCACCUUACGAGAAAUCAAAGUCU
This 1026-nucleotide ribosomal RNA is filed under the name Dothiorella oblonga. Its description in RNAcentral is "SSU rRNA". It matches the Rfam family "Eukaryotic small subunit ribosomal RNA", at positions 72 to 1106 of the family's 1831-position model. The record is from RNAcentral. Lineage: Eukaryota; Fungi; Ascomycota; Dothideomycetes; Botryosphaeriales; Botryosphaeriaceae.